This 617-nucleotide ribosomal RNA is filed under the name uncultured Alphaproteobacteria bacterium. RNAcentral describes it as "bacterial SSU rRNA". It matches the Rfam family "Bacterial small subunit ribosomal RNA", at positions 28 to 692 of the family's 1533-position model. Lineage: Bacteria; Pseudomonadati; Pseudomonadota; Alphaproteobacteria. The record is from RNAcentral.
AACGAACGCUGGCGGCAGGCCUAACACAUGCAAGUCGAGCGCACCCUUCGGGCGAGCGGCGGACGGGUUAGUAACGCGUGGGAAUGUACCCUUUUCUACGGAAUAGCCAUUGGAAACGAUGAGUAAUACCGUAUACGCCCUUUGGGGGAAAGAUUUAUCGGAGAAGGAUCAGCCCGCGUUAGAUUAGAUAGUUGGUGGGGUAAUGGCCUACCAAGUCUACGAUCUAUAGCUGGUUUUAGAGGAUGAUCAGCAACACUGGGACUGAGACACGGCCCAGACUCCUACGGGAGGCAGCAGUGGGGAAUCUUAGACAAUGGGCGCAAGCCUGAUCUAGCCAUGCCGCGUGAGUGAAGAAGGCCUUAGGGUCGUAAAGCUCUUUCGCCAGGGAUGAUAAUGACAGUACCUGGUAAAGAAACCCCGGCUAACUCCGUGCCAGCAGCCGCGGUAAUACGGAGGGGGUUAGCGUUGUUCGGAAUUACUGGGCGUAAAGCGCACGUAGGCGGAUUAGAAAGUAUGGGGUGAAAUCCCAGGGCUCAACCCUGGAACUGCCUCAUAAACUCCUAAUCUAGAGUUCGAGAGAGGUGAGUGGAAUUCCGAGUGUAAAGGUGAAAUUCGUA